Zophobas morio is the source of this 1540-nucleotide long non-coding RNA. RefSeq lists it as uncharacterized. The record is from RefSeq and is a predicted model, not a curated record. The transcript is spliced from 2 exons. NCBI's taxonomy places the organism in Eukaryota, Metazoa, Arthropoda, Insecta, Coleoptera, Tenebrionidae.
AUUCUAUAAGUGCUGCUGACAGUGAGAUAGCAUUUAUUUAAAUUUGAUUAGUGUAAGACGAAAAAAAAAGAGAAAUAAAAAAGAUAGAGACGCUGAUAAUUUUUAUACAAAUGAGAAAUCUUUAUAAUAAUAUUUAAAUACUUUAAGUUCACCACAUGUAUUUAUUAGUCGUCGAUAUAAAUCUUCGUGAAAUUAUGCGAUGAUGAACGCUGAAAAUUUUCUAAUGAUGUACGGAGAUCAAAUCCUGCACGAACACAAAGAAGAAUUUCUUCGUUUUCAACAAAUGAAGUUGUCCAAGUAUCGAUGGCACGAUAGCAAGUGUCCUUGGUCGUUUGAUGAAGUCACCGACCGAUCGGAUACAUGUGGUUGACUUAAUAGAAUUAUAACUGAAAAGAAAAUUAAAAAAAUAUUACUAUAAACAUAUUUAAGAAUAUAAUAAUAUAUAAAAUUACUUGCAUUGGUUUUCGUUCUUCUACAAACACAGGCAAGGUUUUUACGAGUAAAAGUUUAAUACCGCUGAGUUUGGAUCAACGGUUUCUUCAUCUUCAUUAUCAAUUACCGUCACCUGACCUGUUGAUGGUGACGGUAGUAUAAUUUCCACAGAUUUUGGUAGAACUAUCGUUCAUGAUUUUUCUCUAGUUCAUGAUCAUGGUUGUUGUUGUGUUGGUGCCGAUAAUUCUUCGAUGAGAUUUAUUCUGUUUUUAAUAUUACUUCUAGUAUAAAACUUUGACCUUUUGCGCCCCUGUUUAACAACACAUAUUUUUCAACACCCAACACGGUAAUUUGUCGAUCUGUCAAAGAAUGAAAAUGUUGCGGGAGAUACACCUUGUUUAUGUUAUCCAGUUUCACCAUUAAUCUUUCGCCGUACUUUGUUGUAUGCCGUCUCAUGUCCGUAAUCAAAUAGAGAUUGUUCUUUUUCAUCGUCGAUAAAUUUAACCAUGCGAAGGCUCCAGUAGAUUAAACUUCUCUAACAUGCUCGACGUUUUGGAUUUAGUCUUCGACUUUUUUCUAAUUGAUGACAGCCGUUUCUUUUGUUGUUGUUGGUUUGGAGUUUCCAUGACACCUCGAUAGCAUGUCCUCUGUCCAUGACCUUGGAAGGUCAUUCUUGUCCUGAAGAAGUGCCGAUCGCCGAUGGUCUUUCAAGGCCACUUCUACAAGUCGUGACCAGCAACGACCAGAGGGUUCUGAAGUUAGAGCGUGGCCCCUCCAGGUAAAGGAAGUAGUCGCAGAUGUAAUCACAGGUGUUUUUGAGGUGUUUUGAAAAAAGGUAAAUUAUUUUCUUUGGCGUGAAAAAAAUUCAGACUGCUUUCGUAGUGAUUCGAACCGGCUACGCCGAGUCGUCGAUUCGUCAAUUCAACACAUGUGAUUUUGAUUACCUAGCGAAUGUGAUUAAUGCUCGUAAAAUUGUGAAGUGUAGAAACCGGGCGGAUGCCACACCAGAAAGCAACAUAAUCUCUUUGAGGGGAUUAUUCUUUAUAGUUAAAAACAAGUACAUAAAUGAUCUUAUAUUAAUUAACAAAUAAACAAACUUAAAAAUUAA